AUUCAGAAAAUAACGGGAGAGGUGAAAAUCCAUGAUCGCUAUAAGAUGCACGAGAGCGAAAGCAUUUCACUCAAUUGCGUUCGUUAAUCAAGAACGAAAGUUAGGGGAUCGAAGACGAUCAGAUACCGUCGUAGUCCUAACUAUAAACGAUGUCAACCAAGGAUUGGAUAAAUUUUCAAGGAUCGAGACGUAUCAGUCACAGACUCGAUACGAAUCGAUUCUUCAUUCUACCUUAUUCAGAACUUAAAGAGAAAUCUCGAGUUUAUGGACUUCAGGGGGAGUAUGGUCACAAGGCUGAAACUUAAAGGAAUUGACGGAAGGGCACACCAGGAGUGGAGCCUGCGGCUUAAUUUGACUCAACACGGGAAAACUUACCAAGACCGAACAGUAUUAGGAAUGACAGAUUAAGGGUUCUUUCAUGAUUUAUUGGGUAGUGGUGCAUGGCCGUUCUUAGUUGGUGGAGUGAUUUGUCAGGUUAAUUCCGGUAACGAACGAGACUGAAACCUAUUAAUUAGUUGUCGAUCAAUUCGAUCGACAUGUUCGCAAGGACAGUUGCAAUCGUAACACUUCUUAAAGGGACACAUAUCAAUCGUUCAUUUUUAAUCGUUACCGUUUCACGACGGUGCUUUUAAGAAUGAAAAAAGAUAAAGGAAGCAUUCAGCAAUAACAGGUCUGUGAUGCCCUUAGACAUCUUGGGCUGCACGCGCGCUACAAUGGAGUUACUAGAGAGUAUUUUUCAUCGGAACACCUCGAUUGCGUUUCGGCGUGAUCGGAGUGACCUUCGAUGAUUUACCAAGACUGAAAUAGUUUAG
This 812-nucleotide ribosomal RNA is filed under the name Entamoeba ecuadoriensis. Its description in RNAcentral is "SSU rRNA". It matches the Rfam family "Eukaryotic small subunit ribosomal RNA", at positions 890 to 1545 of the family's 1831-position model. The record is from RNAcentral. Lineage: Eukaryota; Evosea; Mastigamoebida; Endamoebidae.